This 751-nucleotide ribosomal RNA is filed under the name uncultured Actinomyces sp. Its description in RNAcentral is "bacterial SSU rRNA". It matches the Rfam family "Bacterial small subunit ribosomal RNA", at positions 28 to 776 of the family's 1533-position model. Lineage: Bacteria; Bacillati; Actinomycetota; Actinomycetes; Actinomycetales; Actinomycetaceae. The record is from RNAcentral.
GACGAACGCUGGCGGCGUGCUUAACACAUGCAAGUCGAACGCUGAAGCCUAGCUUGCUGGGUGGAUGAGUGGCGAACGGGUGAGUAACACGUGAGUAACCUGCCCCCUUCUUUGGGAUAACGCCCGGAAACGGGUGCUAAUACUGGAUAUUCACUGGUCUUCGCAUGGGGGUUGGUGGAAAGGUUUUUUCUGGUGGGGGAUGGGCUCGCGGCCUAUCAGCUUGUUGGUGGGGUGAUGGCCUACCAAGGCUUUGACGGGUAGCCGGCCUGAGAGGGUGACCGGUCACAUUGGGACUGAGAUACGGCCCAGACUCCUACGGGAGGCAGCAGUGGGGAAUAUUGCACAAUGGGCGAAAGCCUGAUGCAGCGACGCCGCGUGAGGGAUGGAGGCCUUCGGGUUGUAAACCUCUUUCGCUCAUGGUCAAGCCGCAACUUGGGGUUGUGGUGAGGGUAGUGGGUAAAGAAGCGCCGGCUAACUACGUGCCAGCAGCCGCGGUAAUACGUAGGGCGCGAGCGUUGUCCGGAAUUAUUGGGCGUAAAGGGCUUGUAGGCGGUUGGUCGCGUCUGCCGUGAAAUCCUCUGGCUUAACUGGGGGCGUGCGGUGGGUACGGGCUGACUUGAGUGCGGUAGGGGAGACUGGAACUCCUGGUGUGGCGGUGGAAUGCGCAGAUAUCAGGAAGAACACCGGUGGCGAAGGCGGGUCUCUGGGCCGUUACUGACGCUGAGGAGCGAAAGCGUGGGGAGCGAACAGG